UACGGGGGGGGCAAGCGUUGUUCGGAAUCAUUGGGCGUAAAGCGCGCGUAGGUGGCCUCGUAAGUCCGCUGUGAAAGUCAAAGGCUCAACCUUUGAAAGCCGGUGGAUACUGUGAGGCUAGAGUACGGAAGAGGCGAGUGGAAUUCCUGGUGUAGCGGUGGAAUGCGCAGAUAUCAGGAGGAACACCAAUAGCGAAGGCAGCUCGCUGGGACGUAACUGACACUGAGGCGCGAAAGCGUGGGGAGCGAACAGG
This 253-nucleotide ribosomal RNA is filed under the name uncultured bacterium. RNAcentral describes it as "partial 16S ribosomal RNA". It matches the Rfam family "Bacterial small subunit ribosomal RNA", at positions 524 to 776 of the family's 1533-position model. The record is from RNAcentral.